AGGAUGAACGCUGGCGGCGUGCUUAACACAUGCAAGUCGAACGGUGAAGCCAAGCUUGCUUGGUGGAUCAGUGGCGAACGGGUGAGUAACACGUGAGCAACCUGCCCUGGACUCUGGGAUAAGCGCUGGAAACGGCGUCUAAUACUGGAUAUGAGCUCUCAUCGCAUGGUGGGGGUUGGAAAGAUUUUUCGGUCUGGGAUGGGCUCGCGGCCUAUCAGCUUGUUGGUGAGGUAAUGGCUCACCAAGGCGUCGACGGGUAGCCGGCCUGAGAGGGUGACCGGCCACACUGGGACUGAGACACGGCCCAGACUCCUACGGGAGGCAGCAGUGGGGAAUAUUGCACAAUGGGCGGAAGCCUGAUGCAGCAACGCCGCGUGAGGGAUGACGGCCUUCGGGUUGUAAACCUCUUUUAGCAGGGAAGAAGCGAGAGUGACGGUACCUGCAGAAAAAGCGCCGGCUAACUACGUGCCAGCAGCCGCGGUAAUACGUAGGGCGCAAGCGUUAUCCGGAAUUAUUGGGCGUAAAGAGCUCGUAGGCGGUUUGUCGCGUCUGCUGUGAAAUCCCGAGGCUCAACCUCGGGCCUGCAGUGGGUACGGGCAGACUAGAGUGCGGUAGGGGAGAUUGGAAUUCCUGGUGUAGCGGUGGAAUGCGCAGAUAUCAGGAGGAACACCGAUGGCGAAGGCAGAUCUCUGGGCCGUAACUGACGCUGAGGAGCGAAAGGGUGGGGAGCAAACAGGCUUAGAUACCCUGGUAGUCCACCCCG
This 763-nucleotide ribosomal RNA is filed under the name Microbacterium aurantiacum. Its description in RNAcentral is "partial 16S ribosomal RNA". It matches the Rfam family "Bacterial small subunit ribosomal RNA", at positions 26 to 802 of the family's 1533-position model. The record is from RNAcentral. Lineage: Bacteria; Bacillati; Actinomycetota; Actinomycetes; Micrococcales; Microbacteriaceae.